Molecule: ribosomal RNA, 273 nt
Filed under: uncultured bacterium
Lineage: Bacteria
Description: partial 16S ribosomal RNA
Rfam family: Bacterial small subunit ribosomal RNA
Source: RNAcentral
CCGCCGGCGACCGGCGCACGGGUGAGUAACACGUAUGCAACCUGGCCGUGACAGAUGGAUAACCGGGAGAAAUCCCGCCUAAUACAACAUAAUGCCGGGAGGGGACAUCCCCUGCCGGCCAAAGAGGGCGACCCCGGUCACGGAUGGGCAUGCGGCGCAUUAGGUAGUUGGUGGGGCAACGGCCCACCAAGCCGACGAUGCGUAGGGGUUCUGAGAGGAAGGUCCCCCACAUUGGAACUGAGACACGGUCCAAACUCCUACGGAAGGCAGCAG